AUUGAACGCUGGCGGCAUGCUUUACACAUGCAAGUCGAACGGCAGCACGGGGGGCAACCCUGGUGGCGAGUGGCGAACGGGUGAGUAACACAUCGGAACGUGCCCAGUUGUGGGGGAUAACCUAUCGAAAGGUAGGCUAAUACCGCAUGAGCUCGGCAAGAGGAAAGCGGGGGACUCAGCGAUGGGCCUCGCGCGACUGGAGCGGCCGAUGUCCGAUUAGCUAGUGGUGGGGUAAAGGCUUACCAAGGCGACGAUCGGUAGCUGGUCUGAGAGGAUGAUCAGCCACACUGGGACUGAGACACGGCCCAGACUCCUACGGGAGGCAGCAGGUGGGGAAUUUUGGACAAGUGGGGGCAACCCUGAUCCAGCCAUGCCGCGUGAGUGAAGAAGGCCU
RNAcentral lists this ribosomal RNA (394 nucleotides) under uncultured bacterium. Its description in RNAcentral is "bacterial SSU rRNA". It matches the Rfam family "Bacterial small subunit ribosomal RNA", at positions 29 to 417 of the family's 1533-position model. The record is from RNAcentral.